Molecule: ribosomal RNA, 399 nt
Filed under: uncultured bacterium
Lineage: Bacteria
Description: partial 16S ribosomal RNA
Rfam family: Bacterial small subunit ribosomal RNA
Source: RNAcentral
AAUAUUGCACACUGGGCGAAAGCCUGAUGCAGCAACGCCGCGUGAGUGAUGAAGGCCUUCGGGUCGUAAAGUCCUUUGAUCAGGGAUGAAAAUGCCAUUACCUGAAACACAAGCCCCGGUCAACUCCGUCCCAGCAGCCGCGGUAAUACGUAGGUGGCGAGCGUUGUCCGGAAUUACUGGGCGUAAAGGAUGCGUAGGUGGAUACUUAAGUGGGAUGUGAAAUCCCCGGGCUCAACCCGGGAACUGCAUUCCAAACUGGGUAUCUAGAGUGCAGGAGAGGAAAGCGGAAUUCCUAGUGUAGCGGUGAAAUGCGUAGAUAUUAGGAGGAACACCAGUGGCGAAGGCGGCUUUCUGGACUGUAACUGACACUGAGGCAUGAAAGCGUGGGUAGCAAACAGG